GAUGAACGCUGGCGGCGUGCCUAAUACAUGCAAGUCGAGCGAACAGAUCAGGAGCUUGCUCCUCUUACGGUAUCGGCGGACGGGUGAGUAACACGUGGAUAACCUACCUAUAAGACUGGGAUAACUUCUGGAAACCGGAGCUAAUACCUGAUAAUAUAUUGAACCGCAUGGUUCAAUAGUUAGUGGCGGUUUUUCUGUCACUUGUAGAGGGAGCCGUGCCGCAUUAUCUAGUUGGUGAGGUGAGGGCUUACCAAGGCGACGGUGCGUAGCCGAACGGAGAGGGUGAUCGGGCACCGUGGAACUGGGACACGGUCCAGACUCCUACGGGAGGCAGCAGCAGGGAAUCUUACGCAAUGGGCGAAAGCCUGACGGAGAAGCGCCGAGGGAGUGAUGAAGGUCUUCGGAUCGUAAAACUAUGCUACUAGGGAAGAACAAAUGUGUAAGUAACUAUGAACGUCUUGACGGUACCUAAACAGAAAGCACCGGCUAACUACGUG
RNAcentral lists this ribosomal RNA (497 nucleotides) under uncultured bacterium. RNAcentral's name for it is "partial 16S ribosomal RNA". It matches the Rfam family "Bacterial small subunit ribosomal RNA", at positions 28 to 507 of the family's 1533-position model. The record is from RNAcentral.